CAGUAGCCACGGUAAUACGAAGGGGGCUAGCGUUGCUCGGAAUUACUGGGCGUAAAGGGAGCGUAGGCGGACAUUUAAGUCAGGGGUGAAAUCCCAGAGCUCAACUCUGGAACUGCCUUUGAUACUGGGUGUCUUGAGUGUGAUAGAGGUAUGUGGAACUCCGAGUGUAGAGGUGAAAUUCGUAGAUAUUCGGAAGAACACCAGUGGCGAAGGCGACAUACUGGAUCAUUACUGACGCUGAGGCUCGAAAGCGUGGGGAGCAAACAGGAUUAGAGACCCGCGUAGUCCCUGUCUCUUAUAC
Molecule: ribosomal RNA, 301 nt
Filed under: uncultured bacterium
Lineage: Bacteria
Description: partial 16S ribosomal RNA
Rfam family: Bacterial small subunit ribosomal RNA
Source: RNAcentral